GGCUUAGAGUUUGAUCAUGGCUCAGGACGAACGCUGGCGGCGCGCCUAACACAUGCAAGUCGAACGGAGUUGAGAGGAGCUUGCUUUUCUUGACUUAGUGGCGAACGGGUGAGUAACGCGUGAGGAACCUGCCUCAAAGAGGGGGACAACAGUUGGAAACGACUGCUAAUACCGCAUAAGCCCACGGUCCCGCAUGGGAGAGAGGGAAAAGGAGCAAUCCGCUUUGAGAUGGCCUCGCGUCCGAUUAGCUAGUUGGUGAGGUAACGGCCCACCAAGGCGACGAUCGGUAGCCGGACUGAGAGGUUGAACGGCCACAUUGGGACUGAGACACGGCCCAGACUCCUACGGGAGGCAGCAGUGGGGAAUAUUGCACAAUGGGGGAAACCCUGAUGCAGCGACGCCGCGUGGAGGAAGAAGGUCUUCGGAUUGUAAACUCCUGUUGUUGGGGAAAAAGAGGAUGGUACCCGACAAGGAAGUGACGGCUAACUACGUGCCAGCAGCCGCGGUAAAACGUAGGUCACGAGCGUUGUCCGGAAUUACUGGGUGUAAAGGGAGCGCAGGCGGGUAUGCAAGUUGGGAGUGAAAUACAUGGGCUCAACCCAUGAACUGCUCUCAAAACUGUGUAUCUUGAGUAGUGCAGAGGUAGGCGGAAUUCCCGGUGUAGCGGUGGAAUGCGUAGAUAUCGGGAGGAACACCAGUGGCGAAGGCGGCCUACUGGGCACCAACUGACGCUGAGGCUCGAAAGUGUGGGUAGCAAACAGGAUUAGAUACCCUGGUAGUCCACACCGUAAACGAUGAUUACUAGGUGUUGGA
RNAcentral lists this ribosomal RNA (813 nucleotides) under uncultured organism. Its description in RNAcentral is "bacterial SSU rRNA". It matches the Rfam family "Bacterial small subunit ribosomal RNA", at positions 1 to 827 of the family's 1533-position model. The record is from RNAcentral.